This 956-nucleotide long non-coding RNA is filed under the name Numida meleagris (helmeted guineafowl). Its description in RNAcentral is "lncRNA (ENSNMEG00000018441.1)". Lineage: Eukaryota; Metazoa; Chordata; Aves; Galliformes; Numididae. The record is from RNAcentral.
GUCAUUUUGAAAGUUAUGUUUGAAUACAAAAUAUUCAAUAUUGGAAAGUUGUUUCCAACUGCAAAUUUAGAGAGAGAUUAAAGGGAAAGUGGAACAUUCUUUUUCUUCUGUAUUUUGACUUUUUUCCUCAGUGCUCUUUUCUUAUUAAAAGCUCUGGGCUUCAUUGAACUAUUUCCUGUUUCCCUUGCUUAUCCACAGAUUUAGAUGCUUUAUGUUGACUUACUGGUUUUUGUUAAUGGUAUGCUGAUUAUGAAUGUGUGCACGUGGUAGCUGUUCCUUCCUGAAGAACAUUCCUGUUGAAAGGAUGCUGAUAGUCUCCUACUUGACAGUAUUGAUGUUCCACCACAUUUUCCACGGUUUUGAUAAUUGUGUCUUAUUACUCUUUCCAUGGGAAAUCCUAACAGCGGGAGACAGUAAUUUGGCUUAAUCAAUGAAGUCACAAAUCUGUUACCUCCUGUUAAGACUGUAGAAGUAUGUGAAAAAGCAGGAAAAGUCAAGUUCUGCUCUUGGUGCAUGACUUAUGUCUUUUGAAAAAACCCUAAGUAGCUAUAAAUGAUUUUACCACUGGCUUCAAGAGAUGUUUUUAUGAUCCAGUUUUUGAAUUGGGAGAUUGGUAUUCAGUCCUAGAGAGGAAACAAGCCUUCACUGGUUUCUCCUCCUGGUUUGCUAAUAAGUGUAUGAAAGUAUGUUCCUAUUGAUGGCACUGCAGUUAUUUUAGGAUGGUAUUAUAAAGUGAUCUUCAUUCACAAACAUAAAGUAUUUGUAAGGACAGAAAGAACCUGUCUUUCAUUCUAGUGUCCAUUCUCAUCUCUCUCUUAGAUGUGCGAGGAUAAAAUAGCCAGGAAAAAAGUAAAUUCUGUAAAAUGAUAGUGCCUUUCUGACAUGGCCCUGAGAGGAACAGAGAGGUCAGACAGCUUUAAAAUAAUAAUAAUAAAAAAACAGCUCACAUCCCCUCA